Molecule: transfer RNA, 83 nt
Filed under: Gammaproteobacteria bacterium CG11_big_fil_rev_8_21_14_0_20_46_22
Lineage: Bacteria; Pseudomonadati; Pseudomonadota; Gammaproteobacteria
Also listed under: 1 other name
Description: tRNA-Tyr
Rfam family: tRNA
About the family: Transfer RNA (tRNA) molecules are approximately 80 nucleotides in length. Their secondary structure includes four short double-helical elements and three loops (D, anti-codon, and T loops).
Source: RNAcentral
GGAGGGGUGCCCGAGCGGCCAAAGGGAGCAGACUGUAAAUCUGCCGGCGUAUGCCUUCGUAGGUUCGAAUCCUACCCCCUCCA